ACAUUAUUUGAUUAAGUAUAUGAUGAAAUAAUCUAAGUUACAUCAUUGUUUUAGGAAUGAAAUAAUAUUCAUAAAUUCUUACAACAACUUGUGUAGUGGGUAGGCCAUACUUGUUUUGAAAAAACCAAAUACUUUUUUUCUGAAAUUGUGCAUGUGAAUGCAUUAAUAAUAAAUAGAUAAAAUUUGAAGUUGAUCAAGUCACACUUCCCUAGCAUAUUGGUCAAUGAAGUAUUUGUUUAUUUCCUUCUAGAUAGUGCAA
RNAcentral lists this unclassified non-coding RNA (259 nucleotides) under Hevea brasiliensis (rubber tree). The record is from RNAcentral. Lineage: Eukaryota; Viridiplantae; Streptophyta; Magnoliopsida; Malpighiales; Euphorbiaceae.